UGGCCUUGACAUACUAAGAACUUUCCAGAGAUGGAUUGGUGCCUUCGGGAACUUAGAUACAGGUGCUGCAUGGCUGUCGUCAGCUCGUGUCGUGAGAUGUUGGGUUAAGUCCGCAACGAGCGCAACCCUUUUCCUUAUUUGCCAGCGGGUUAAGCCGGUAACUUUAAGGAUACUGCCAGUGACAAACUGGAGGAAGGCGGGGACGACGUCAAGUCAUCAUGGCCCUUACGGCCAGGGCUACACACGUGCUACAAUGGUCGGUACAAAGGGUUGCUACCUCGCGAGAGGAUGCUAAUCUCAAAAAGCCGAUCGUAGUCCGGAUCGCAGUCUGCAACUCGACUGCGUGAAGUCGGAAUCGCUAGUAAUCGCGGAUCAGAAUGCCGCGGUGAAUACGUUCCCGGGCCUUGUACACACCGCUCGUCACACCAUGGGAGUUUGUUGCACCAGAAGUAGGUAGUCUAACCGCAAGGAGGACGCUUACCACGGUGUGGCCGAUGACUGGGGUGAAGUCGUAACAAGGUAGGCGUAGAUGA
RNAcentral lists this ribosomal RNA (533 nucleotides) under uncultured bacterium. RNAcentral's name for it is "bacterial SSU rRNA". It matches the Rfam family "Bacterial small subunit ribosomal RNA", at positions 976 to 1509 of the family's 1533-position model. The record is from RNAcentral.